Molecule: long non-coding RNA, 1829 nt
Organism: Bombus terrestris (buff-tailed bumblebee)
Lineage: Eukaryota; Metazoa; Arthropoda; Insecta; Hymenoptera; Apidae
Exons: 2
Source: RefSeq, a predicted model, not a curated record
CCACGACACAGCAAGCACGCAAAGUUUGCGCGUGCAACGCGCCUGCGCGUUCUCGUGACGUGUAAGCCCUGGAAAGAGGAACGAGGAGGGAAGAAUACGAUGUACACGAGAAAAGGAAAGCGACGGGAAGAGCGAGCAAGGUAGAGUAAUAUAUAGAAGAAGAGGGAAGAAAACGAGGAAGGAAGAGAAACGAGCAAUAUGGCGAGCGUAGGAGUGGGACGGAGGGUAACUAAGGACGCAGAUGGUACGGAGUCCUCGAAAGAACCGAAAGGACGAAAGAGAGAACCACUGCGUGUUGCACCGUUCUACUCGAAAAACUUCGUAACCAUACGCUUUCCCCAUGACUAACAGGUGGAAGGCGUUUGAAAUGUGCAGCUUUCCUCGAGAUUAGCAGGUGGAGGAUACUAUUGGUGCCUCGUGCCGCGGAUUAUUUCGAACCAGAUCUGGAGAAACCACCUUCCCUUGUAGAAAGCAUAUGGACGACUUAGCGCGACGUUAAACCGCGCUUCAGUAGCGAUCGUUUGACUUUUCAACAUUAAUAUCGUAAAAAAAUAACGAUCAAAUUAAAAUAAUAUUAAACGAAACCUUCCAACAAAAGCUUUUAUUCCUUUUUAAGAUGAACUUUCAUGGCGGAGAAUGUAAGUGCAAUGUCGUUUCUACGAUUCUCUUUCAGACAAAUCGCAUUGAGGUUUAAUUAUAGAUAAGCCAACCGACGCUGUUCGUUACAACGCGAAGAUAUAGCAGUGGACACUUCUUGCAAAUUAUAUAUUAAAGGGAAACGAUUUUUCCAACGGCACCAGAGAAAGAAAUUCUUGCUUUGAGAAAAGUUAUCGUCACAAAUAAGAAAGUAAUAUAGUUGCGGGAUCGAUAGACAGUAAAGUGUAGCGGAGAAUAUGUUUUAUUGAUGACUUAUUGCUCGAAUCGAUCGACGGUUCCACGGUAGCAAAUAGAGUAACAGUAUACAUAUGCUUCUUAGUCGCUGAAAAUUAUAGCAUUAUCAUUCGCUACUGUUUGUAGAUAUAUAUCAAGAAUUUUUUUCGAAAAUUGUACUAAUUUUUCCACUGUCGAUCACCAAAUAUAUUUGUUUCAAUUUUAUUACAUUAUCGAUGACGUGAUUCUUGUUAUUCCUGUUAUUUAUGAAAUAAACACCAGUAAGUAAACAAGUGUAAUGGCAAUUAGAUACAUCUACUCUUACAGAUGGUAGCUUACGUAAAGAAUAUGAAAUGACUUGCACGCUAUGAUUACAGCAGCGCAAACUUAAAACGAACGUCCAUGCCGUGUUAUUUAUUUUGCUCGAUAAUCGUUCACGCAUACGAAAGCACAAUGUUUAAAACAAAAUUUCGUGCUGUUUUUAGAAAAAUUCUAAAAGUGUAUUCUACUUCGUUGUUAUCGUGAUUCUGUUACUCAAUGAGGUAAAGAAAGGUUUCACAAACGUAUUGAGUAUUCUUUUACAAAUUUAUAAAUUCGGAUGAAUUCUUUUAGUUUUUAAUCAUUUCUUUACGAUAAUAGUAUUAUGAUAAAAGAUUAUAACAUUUUUCAAAUUUGUAGGUAAACUGAUUUCAAAAAUAAAGAAUGUCACGCAUCAUCUUGUAAAAUCAGAAAAGGAAUAAGAAAUGCGUUUCAAAUCCAUUCACGCGGAUAUUUCGGUGCUACUUUACCCUCCACAAAACUCAUUUCUGUAUCCUUUAGACAGACUGCAAUAUCCAAAAUAAAUCUUUCAUAUGACCGAUCGAUUUUCAUGCUAUGGAUUGAUGAAAAGACAACCUUCACGCUAAAAAAAAUCGUCGAUAGAUACAUAUAAAUAAACUUUAAUGCUCUCUAUUAACCUA